RNAcentral lists this ribosomal RNA (482 nucleotides) under uncultured bacterium. Its description in RNAcentral is "partial 16S ribosomal RNA". It matches the Rfam family "Bacterial small subunit ribosomal RNA", at positions 30 to 507 of the family's 1533-position model. The record is from RNAcentral.
AUUGGACGCUGGCGGCAUGCCUUACACAUGCAAGUCGAACGGUAACAGGUCUUCGGAUGCUGACGAGUGGCGAACGGGUGAGUAAUACAUCGGAACGUGCCCGAUCGUGGGGGAUAACGAGGCGAAAGCUUUGCUAAUACCGCAUACGAUCUACGGAUGAAAGCGGGGGAUCUUCGGACCUCGCGCGGACGGAGCGGCCGAUGGCAGAUUAGGUAGUUGGGGGGAUAAAAGCUUACCAAGCCGACGAUCUGUAGCUGGUCUGAGAGGAUGAUCAGCCACACUGGGACUGAGACACGGCCCAGACUCCUACGGGAGGCAGCAGUGGGGAAUUUUGGACAAUGGGCGAAAGCCUGAUCCAGCCAUGCCGCGUGCAGGAUGAAGGCCUUCGGGUUGUAAACUGCUUUUGUACGGAACGAAAAGCCUCUUUCUAAUAAAGAGGGGUCAUGACGGUACCGUAAGAAUAAGCACCGGCUAACUACGUG